Molecule: ribosomal RNA, 483 nt
Filed under: Streptomyces sp. 313C03
Lineage: Bacteria; Bacillati; Actinomycetota; Actinomycetes; Kitasatosporales; Streptomycetaceae
Description: bacterial SSU rRNA
Rfam family: Bacterial small subunit ribosomal RNA
Source: RNAcentral
UAGUGGCGAACGGGUGAGUAACACGUGGGCAAUCUGCCCUGCACUCUGGGACAAGCCCUGGAAACGGGGUCUAAUACCGGAUAACACUGUCCCCCUCCUGGGGGACGGUUGAAAGCUCCGGCGGUGCAGGAUGAGCCCGCGGCCUAUCAGCUUGUUGGUGGGGUAAUGGCCUACCAAGGCGACGACGGGUAGCCGGCCUGAGAGGGCGACCGGCCACACUGGGACUGAGACACGGCCCAGACUCCUACGGGAGGCAGCAGUGGGGAAUAUUGCACAAUGGGCGAAAGCCUGAUGCAGCGACGCCGCGUGAGGGAUGACGGCCUUCGGGUUGUAAACCUCUUUCAGCAGGGAAGAAGCGAAAGUGACGGUACCUGCAGAAGAAGCGCCGGCUAACUACGUGCCAGCAGCCGCGGUAAUACGUAGGGCGCAAGCGUUGUCCGGAAUUAUUGGGCGUAAAGAGCUCGUAGGCGGUCUGUCACGUCG